AAGGAUGUUGAUAUGGUUGUUUCAACAAAUGCAAAUGCAACCAGGACGUUAUUGGGCUUAGGGUCAAGAACAUGUCAUGUUAAAUGGAGAUGGGAAUCAUUGUUCAAGUAUAGUGUUUGUACAAAAAGGCUGCUCUAUGCUUUAUUAGCCUCUGUCCUUGUCUACGUUGCUGCUUAUGUAGGGUGUGGGUCUGUGGUAAUGGCAGACGAAACAAGUGCAUUUAACGCUCAAAC
Molecule: long non-coding RNA, 233 nt
Filed under: Panax ginseng (ginseng)
Lineage: Eukaryota; Viridiplantae; Streptophyta; Magnoliopsida; Apiales; Araliaceae
Description: long non-coding RNA (PGIN_LNC000963)
Source: RNAcentral